RNAcentral lists this non-coding RNA (26 nucleotides) under Mus musculus (house mouse). The record is from RNAcentral. Lineage: Eukaryota; Metazoa; Chordata; Mammalia; Rodentia; Muridae.
UAAACACACAGGAGGCUAGUCCCGCA